Molecule: long non-coding RNA, 1108 nt
Organism: Manis javanica (Malayan pangolin)
Lineage: Eukaryota; Metazoa; Chordata; Mammalia; Pholidota; Manidae
Source: RefSeq, a predicted model, not a curated record
GCCUCACUCAGAUGGUGGGAAAAUGGCUCUGCCUUGUGGAAGUCGGGGCCCUGUGGAGAAAUACCUUGAAAAUGUCUAUUGUGUUAUUCUCUAUAUUUAUUACUUUUUAUAAUACUCCUACUAUUGAGUCUUACGCAAGCUUUUGUAGGGUGGCUGAUCGCCCGGUUUUCUUGGGACCGAGGCAGUUCAGGCAGCGUGGCAUGACUGGUCACCCGCCUUCCCAGCCUGGGCUUUACUGCCCACCCUGGGGCUGGCGAUGCCAGAUGCGAUCCAUGGCCAUGAGGUCAGGGUGGCACUGGCCUCCGUGCUUGGUGGGACAUUCGGGGUUCAGGUGGGGGACAAGUUGGAGCAGUUGGGGUGGCCCACGUGGACAGUCUGUUGGCACUGCCCUCCAGUGAUUCUAGGCCUGGUCUAUUCACUCAGCUCUCACGCGGCCUUCCCCACAGCUCUUCUCCAAGUCCAGCCUGCGUGCCCACUGUCCCAGCUGCCCGGAGCCCCUCCCUCUGCUUCUCGCGCCCCCUUCCCUCCUCUGCCGCCGCUGUGGACUCCGUCAGCUCAGGAGCGGUUUCCGCUGUGUUCAGUCCUUCUGCACGUGCCCAGAUGCACAACGGUUUUGGACACGUUUCCCGCUCUGAGAGUUAAUGCUACGUGGCUGCUGCUUACACGAAUACAUUAGAGCUGUGUGGAAAUUCACGUCCAUAGCUCGGCAAAGCCCUCCGUUCCCAGAGCCGGCGUUCACUAGGCCCUUGACCUGCCGACCUCUCCAGGAGUGUCCGAGAUUCCCGCAGUGCCCAGCCGGGGCGUCAUCCCCCCGGGGCAGCUUUCAGGGAAGGCUGGGGAACAGUAGCUCAUCCUCACCUCCAGCCCCAGGGCUCCAUCCGGUUUGUGAUUAUUUACGUGGCCGCCUCACCGCUUCGGCUGGAGGAGGAGCGAUUCUAGAGCCUGUGCAGCUUCUCUGUCUGUCGUGGACACACAGUGGACAGAGGUCUGCUUCCAGGAGUGGCAGGACUUGGAGAAGUCCUAAUCAUCCCUUUAUUUCUGAGUUUUCCUUCAGGAAUAAAAUAAAUUCCUCAAAGGUGUUAGUUAUCCUUUGUCGUAACAAUCCUGA